AUCGCCACACCCUUCCGGUCCAGUCUAUUUCCUCAGCCGCAUUAACCCCGGGAGAUUUAAAUUGCGCCUCGCCAGUGACGAUUGUUCGCCAGGAUGAUACUAGGGGAGAUUAUUUUGAGUGAAAGUGUUUCUUUUUCCUUGCUCCAUUCUCGUGUCGUUUCCCUUUAAUUUUGCCAGUCUUCGGCUUGGGAUGGAGGAUUUGCCGCCGGCGGGUCAGGCGUUGGUGCGUGACAGGUCUAAACUGAGGCCCAGGAUUAUCAAGACCAUCAGCGGCUACCCAUACCAAUGGCUUGUAGACCACACUUUGAGAAACAAGUCAGAAAUACGAUCUUUAUCUGAUGUUAGGAUCUUGUUGGUGACAGUGGCUGAGAGGUGCUGUAUAGUCAGCUGAUGUUUAUCCUAAUCUGUGGAAAUUGCUUCCCCAGAAAGGAGGUAUGUGAAGAGUCUUUGUCCUCUGGGACAGAGACCGUAAACGUGGGAGUCAGCACAGACUCUUGUCAUGCCAGGUUACUGUAUACUCCCCUGCAGGUGGGAAGUAGAGACAGAUGAAGUUGUCCUGCAGCGGCGGCAAAAGCAAAUAGAUUAUGGCAAAUGUACACCUGGUUACCAGUGCUUUCUGCAGCAGAUCCCCAAAGCACAGCGACAGCCAGGGCUUCACCCUCAAACACCAAACAAGAACAGGAGGUACAGCCGUCGUUCCUGGGAUGCUCAGAUCAGGCAGUGGAGAAGAGCUCUACAUACCUGGGACCCCCCCAGCCAGCCUCUUCAGGGCAGGGGUGCCGAAGGGCAGGGAAAGGAGAGUCUCUUAGAGCCCAUGGAUUCUACCUCUUCCGAUGGCCUCCUGGAUGACUGACUCCAGGCCCUGGAACCCUCACAGAAUCUGGAUGGAGGCCAGAAGGGGGCCAAGUUUGUAGAUUUGGUGGAUCCAAUUUCCUGCCCUCCCAGGCUCAGUGAGGAAGACAGCAAUUCACCUGUCCCAGACUUGGAUAGUGCAGAAAAUAUUUAGAGAAAAUAUGUCUUUCAGGGAACUUGCUGCUAAAUGUGAUAGUGAAGUCACUUGUGUUAAUACUUUCCAAACAGAAAAGAAAGAAAGAAAGAAAGAAAAGAAAGAAACCAAGAAAGCAAAAACUGCCUUACAAAGAGAUCACAGCAUGAUGGCAUUGUUUAAAGCCUCUUUUUUUUUUUUUUUGCUACCAAGGAUCAAACUCAGGGUCCUUGCGCUUGUGAGGCAGGCGGCGGAACUGCUGAGCUAAAUCCCAGGCCCUAAAAGGUCUCCUUUUUCUUUCUUUUUUGUCUUUCUGAUGCUGAGACUCGUGUUUACAGAAGAACCAGAAACCAUCUUCCUAAUUCCUUCACUUACUUAAGUCUACAUUCCGACUCUUUAAAAAGGACUUGAACUGUGGCUGAGGUGGGAGGUGGUAGUAGUGGCAAAGACUCAAUAAAAAGGUGGUUUCCCUUUCCUGAAGAGGAAAUAUAGUGCCAUCGACAUCGUU
Heterocephalus glaber (naked mole-rat) is the source of this 1493-nucleotide non-coding RNA. The record is from RefSeq and is a predicted model, not a curated record. NCBI's taxonomy places the organism in Eukaryota, Metazoa, Chordata, Mammalia, Rodentia, Bathyergidae.